Molecule: long non-coding RNA, 1502 nt
Organism: Vombatus ursinus (common wombat)
Lineage: Eukaryota; Metazoa; Chordata; Mammalia; Diprotodontia; Vombatidae
Exons: 3
Source: RefSeq, a predicted model, not a curated record
UCCCCACCCCAGGGGGCUACACUUUGUUUUAAAAAAAGAAAAGAACGAAAAAGGGAAGGAAGGAAAGGCAGCUCAGCAAAACUAAUUAACAUAUCAAUGUUGUCUUAGGGUAAGUCUAUGUUCCACACAGUGGCUCCUUACCCAGGUAGAUAAGGAAGGGAAGUUUCCAAAUAUUUUCAAGAAUGAAAUUGCUAUUAGCAAUUAAUUACUAAUUGUACCAGUGAAGAAGUGACCUUUUAUUUUAGUCAAAUACUAACUAAGUGUCAUUCUCUGUCCUGGGGACACUUGCAGAAUGGACUGUUGUCCAUCGUUUUCAUGGGAUCAUAGACGUGAAACGGAACUCAGAAGCCUUCUAGUCCAAACCCCUCAAUUUACAAUAGAAGAAACUAGAGACAAGAAAGAUGAAGCGAAGUCGCACGGGCUCCAAGAAACACAGGUGGAAUUCGAAUCCAGCAUCUGUGACUGCAGAACCACUGUACCACACUGCUUUCCCUCCAAUUGCAGCUCCCGAAGAAAUGCACGUGAGCGCACACACAAAGUGGAAACACUCCCAUUCCAUUUGAUUACCAUUUAACAAACAAUAAAAACCAAAUCUCUUCACUGCCUGGGUGGCGGGCCUCCACACAAGGCCCUCAGAGCAACUUUCUUGGCCAAAAGAUAGAGCUUAACUUCAUUUUUUUUUUUUUUUUUAAAGAGAAGCUUAGCAUAUGUUAACUGUCCCUGGAUACCGGCACCCGCUGGAGAGUUAAGAAUGGAAAGGUAGCGCGCCCUCACCUUAAUGUUGCUGAAGAUGGUCCGCUGACAGCUGGUGAGAGUGUUCCCGCCCCGGGAUUUGCUCUGCUCAGGAAAUUGCCCAGCAUCCUGUACCUUGUGAAUGAUGGAGGCUCAAAGAUGAAAUCAAGCAGUCCCUGCCCUCAAGAAGCUUCCCAUCAGGCAGCUCACCACUGGAGGAUAUGGCCCUUUCCACCCCAUCUCACAUAACCUGCCGCAGAAAAAAGCCUGACAUACAGAUAAGGAAACAUCCUCCAAAGAGAUGGAAGAGAAAAUCAGUCUGUGUCUCUUUCUCACCUUGGGAAAAGAUAUCAAUUCCCUCAGUGCCAGACUGCUACUAUACCCCAGAAUUCAUGGUGAUCAGUAUGGAUCAGAGAAGAGAGGGCCCAGUUAAAGACCAGUUUCUACCACACUCUUGGGAAAUCAGCUCAAGGCAAAACCAGAGAACAGUGGACACCUUGACCACAAUACCGUAAUGGAAGACAACUUUGAAAGACUUCAGAAUUCUCAUUAAGACCAAUCAUGACCUCUGAAGACUGCUAACAAGGCUUGCUUCCCCUUGUUGGCAGAAUUGUAAUGGACUGGAGCUAUGGAAUCAGACCUACAUUUUCAGAUAUAGCUAAUAUGUUAGGGAAGACUUCCGGCUGGGGAGCAGGAGAGGAAGUGAGCAGGAAAUGUUUGAAGUGGGGAAAAAAAAAAAGAAGAAAAAAGCAUAUAAAACAUUUAAAAGA